GAUGAACGCUGGCUACAGGCUUAACACAUGCAAGUCGAGGGGAAACGGCAUUGAGUGCUUGCACUGAAUGGACGUCGACCGGCGCACGGGUGAGUAACGCGUAUCCAACCUUCCCGUUACUGCGGGAUAACCUGCCGAAAGGCAGACUAAUACCGCAUGUUCUUCGAUGACGGCAUCAGAUUCGAAGCAAAGAUCCGUCGGUAACGGAGGGGGAUGCGUCUGAUUAGCUAGUUGGCGGGGCGACGGCCCACCAAGGCGACGAUCAGUAGGGGUUCUGAGAGGAAGGUCCCCCACAUUGGAACUGAGCCACGGUCCAAACUCCUACGGGAGGCAGCAGUGAGGAAUAUUGGUCAAUGGGCGGAAGCCUGAACCAGCCAAGUAGCGUGCAGGAUGACGGCCCUACGGGUUGUAAACUGCUUUUAUGCGGGGAUAAAGUGAGGGACGCGUCCCUUUUUGCAGGUACCGCAUGAAUAAGGACCGGCUAAUUCCGUG
This 492-nucleotide ribosomal RNA is filed under the name uncultured bacterium. RNAcentral describes it as "partial 16S ribosomal RNA". It matches the Rfam family "Bacterial small subunit ribosomal RNA", at positions 28 to 507 of the family's 1533-position model. The record is from RNAcentral.